UACGGAGGGGGCUAGCGUUGUUCGGAAUUACUGGGCGUAAAGCGCACGUAGGCGGCCUUGCAAGUUAGAGGUGAAAGCCCGGGGCUCAACUCCGGAAUUGCCUUUAAAACUGCAUCGCUAGAAUUGUGGAGAGGUAAGUGGAAUUCCGAGUGUAGAGGUGAAAUUCGUAGAUAUUCGGAAGAACACCAGUGGCGAAGGCGACUUACUGGACACAUAUUGACGCUGAGGUGCGAAAGCGUGGGGAGCAAACAGG
RNAcentral lists this ribosomal RNA (253 nucleotides) under uncultured bacterium. RNAcentral's name for it is "partial 16S ribosomal RNA". It matches the Rfam family "Bacterial small subunit ribosomal RNA", at positions 524 to 776 of the family's 1533-position model. The record is from RNAcentral.